UUAAUAGAAGCCAAAAUAGCGGCACCUCACUGUUAAUGAGAAAACUGAUACUUCCUAUUAAG
This 62-nucleotide transfer RNA is filed under the name Cycetogamasus diviortus. Its description in RNAcentral is "tRNA-Asn". The record is from RNAcentral. Lineage: Eukaryota; Metazoa; Arthropoda; Arachnida; Mesostigmata; Parasitidae.